This 253-nucleotide unclassified non-coding RNA is filed under the name uncultured Verrucomicrobiota bacterium. Its description in RNAcentral is "uncultured Verrucomicrobia bacterium contains 16S-23S intergenic spacer region". It matches the Rfam family "Bacterial small subunit ribosomal RNA", at positions 524 to 776 of the family's 1533-position model. Lineage: Bacteria; Pseudomonadati; Verrucomicrobiota. The record is from RNAcentral.
UACGGAGACUGCAAGCGUUGUUCGGAUUUACUGGGCGUAAAGGGUGCGCAGGCGGCCGGGUGUGUCGGGUGUGAAAAUUCGAGGCUCAACCUCGAAACUGCGCCCGAAACUAUCCGGCUAGAGUAUUGGAGAGGGAAGCGGAAUUCAUGGUGUAGCAGUGAAAUGCGUAGAUAUCAUGAGGAACACCAGUGGCGAAGGCGGCUUCCUGGACAAUUACUGACGCUCAGGCACGAAAGCGUGGGGAGCGAAAGGG